Drosophila yakuba is the source of this 1897-nucleotide long non-coding RNA. RefSeq lists it as uncharacterized. The transcript has 2 exons. Lineage: Eukaryota; Metazoa; Arthropoda; Insecta; Diptera; Drosophilidae. The record is from RefSeq and is a predicted model, not a curated record.
CGCCCUGGAGAGAUUGCGAGAUUGAUGCGACAGCGAUUAGUACAGAUUGUUAAGUUAUCCUAGUUAGUUAACUAAGUAAGCUAAGCUACAUUCUGAUUGUGGGCUACCAGUUAGGGUUACGUUCAAUGUGUAGGGACUUAGGUAUAGGAAUGGGUUCUGAUUGGUUUAAAGCGAUUGAAAAUACCUAGAAAUUAGACAUAGAUUGGUCGAGAGUCCUACGCGUACAGUGCGUUACGAAAGUGACAGGCCUGUUUCGUUUAUUCAGCUAAUGCAAUGAUAUAUUAAUACCUCCUUUGCCUUUCGCAACGCACUGUACAUAAAGUUAGAUUAAGGUAUACAAAUGUAAGGGUACAGCCGAAACUACAUAGUUGGUGUUACUUACUAGGGGAAGUUUGACUAUAAAGAUACCAUAAAUAUAGGCGAGGAAAAUGAUGAAAUAUUUAUGAUAUAUAUGAGAUGUAAUGAUUGUAAUUGUAAUGAUGAAACGGCGAAAGGUCUAUUAUAAAGUACGAUACUAUUAUUGAUGCACCAAAGGGUAUUUCGAGUAAGAAAGUAAUCAAAUAUGUUGGCCAUAUGCCUGACAAGUAAUAACGGCCCUUCUCGACACGCGUGUGAUCCUGGGGGAUUUUACACGUAUGGGAAAGAGUGCCGAAUGGAUGAAAAGUUCAUUGCAUGUUGCAUAAUUAAAUAGAGAGCUUUUCAAAACAAAAAAAAAACAGAAAUAAUACAAACAACAACAAUGGUGGGGUCAACGCAAAUGGAAAAGCAGAAAAGCGGAAAAACGAAGACAAUUGAAAACUUGAAAUACAUUGAAGCUUUCGCCUUGCAACUUAACCCUUAUGCGGGUAAAGCUAAGCGAAAAAGCUCUCGAAAGCGAAGGGGGUUAAAUGUAAAGAGAUGACCGCAGGGGAAUUGCAUAUAUACUCGUACUUGUACAAAUUGUUUGUUGCCUUUUUUAUACGUGUUAAAUGUGGCUCAAAAGCUUUUGGCCCAUUUGCAUGGGCAGCCGUUAAAUGCGGAGGAUUUACCAUUACUUUCGCUAUCUCUACCGCUUUACCGCUACUUUUUUGAACACAAACGAAACGAAAAGCUCUCUCGCCCCGAAGCUUCCAUAAACGUUUUACCCACUUUCUUAUCCCCCUGACUAUUUGCCGAAAGUGUCUGCCAGCGAACCCAGCGCAAUUAUCUCCAAACAGUGAAUAAAAAAAGUACAAAAAAAAACACACAAAAAAGUACAAAAAAAAAGAAAAUUAAAAAUAGUAUGGAGGCGCUAACCGGGGUACUUGCAGAAGAAGAAAAUAGGAAAACGCGACGGCAAAUGUCAAAGAGUGAACAAAUUCAUCAAUCAUGACUGCAGGAAAGAACUGUCUUAAUUGCGUUUGUCGGAUAUUCUCCAUUAAAUAGUAAAAUGCUAAAAUGGUAAAAUGCUAAAUGCUAAAUGCUCUUAGGCCCACCUACUAGGAGACCGUAUUCUUUUCCAUUUUCCAUUCCCCUACGAUCGAAUGGCGUGUAAACAAAAUUUUUAAUUAUGACCACCGAAAGUAAUGCGAAAGCGAGAGAGAACAAAAUAAAUAAAUAUACGAACAUACAUACAUAUAUGUAUGUACAUAUGUAUAUGUGGGGGCAACGAAGUGAGAUUGAAGGUGGUGGCCAAGCGGGCAAAUGAAGAAAAUAAUUGUUGAGCCAACGCGGCGUAUGAGCAAUAUUGAUUUUCACUAAUUGGAUUUUAGCGCGCGAAAAACGUUAAAUGGCCAAAACAAGAAAAAGAUAUAAAUUCAACGAAAACAAACCGAAAGAACAACAGCAACAAAGUAAGCAAAUCACAAACUGCCAGCGUUUUAUGAUUAUUAGAACACAUCUGUAACAUAAAUAAAGAAAUCCGAACUGAACAUAAAAA